Molecule: ribosomal RNA, 422 nt
Filed under: uncultured Glomeraceae
Lineage: Eukaryota; Fungi; Glomeromycota; Glomeromycetes; Glomerales; Glomeraceae
Description: SSU rRNA
Rfam family: Eukaryotic small subunit ribosomal RNA
Source: RNAcentral
GGGAGGUAGUGACAAUAAAUAACAAUACGGGGUUCUUUAGGAUCUCGUAAUUGGAAUGAGUACAAUUUAAAUCUCUUAACGAGGAACAAUUGGAGGGCAAGUCUGGUGCCAGCAGCCGCGGUAAUUCCAGCUCCAAUAGCGUAUAUUAAAGUUGUUGCAGUUAAAAAGCUCGUAGUUGAAUUUCGGGAUCAUCAGGUUGGUCGUGCCACUGGUAUGUACUUGCCUCGGUGGUCCCUCCCUCUUGAAGAACCGUAAUGCCAUUAAUUUGGUGUUGCGGGGAAUCAGGACUGUUACUUUGAAAAAUUAGAGUGUUUAAAGCAGGCAAACGCUUGAAUACAUUAGCAUGGAAUAAUGAAAUAGGACGUUUGAUCUUAUUUUGUUGGUUUCUAGGAUCGACGUAAUGAUUAAUAGGGAUAGUUGGG